UCCGGUUGAUCCUGCCGGACCCCACUGCUAUCGGGAUAGGACUAAGACAUGCUAGUCGAGUGACUCAGGCAAAACGAGUCACGGCGCACAGCUCAGUAACACGUGGCUAAUCUGCCCUUGGGACUAGAACAACCCCGGGAAACUGGGGCUAACUCUAGAUAGGUGGAGAACUCUGGAAUGAGUCUUUGCCUAAAUAGGUUCACGUUAUCCUCGUGAACUUGCCCAAGGAUGAGGCCGCGGCCGAUCAGGUUGUUGGCGAGGUAAUGGCUCACCAAGCCUUUUACCGGUGCGGGCCGUGAGAGCGGGAGCCCGGAGAUGGGCACUGAGACAAGGGCCCAGGCCCUACGGGGCGCAGCAGUCGCGAAAACUUUGCAAUACACGAAAGUGUGACAGGGCUAUCCCGAGUGCCAUCCGCUGAGGAAGGCUUUUACCCAGUCUAGAACGCUGGGGGAAUAAGGAGAGGGCAAGUCUGGUGUCAGCCGCCGCGGUAAUACCAGCUCUCCGAGUGGUGUGGAUGUUUAUUGGGCCUAAAGCAUCCGUAGCUGGCUGAGUUAGUCCCUUGUUAAAUCCACCGAAUUAAUCGUUGGAUUGCGGGGGAUACUGCUCGGCUAGGGGACGAGAGAGGCAGACGGUAUUUCCGGGGUAGGGGUGAAAUCCUAUAAUCCCGGGAAGACCACCAGUGGCGAAGGCUGUCUGCUAGAACGCGCCCGACGGUGAGGGAUGAAAGCUGGGGGAGCGAACCGGAUUAGAUACCCGGGUAGUCCCAGCUGUAAACGAUGCAGGCUAGUGUUUGGACGGCCACGUGCCGUUCUAGUGCCGCAGGGAAGCUGUUAAGCCUGCCGCCUGGGGAGUACGAUCGCAAGAUUGAAACUUAAAGGAAU
RNAcentral lists this ribosomal RNA (881 nucleotides) under uncultured archaeon. Its description in RNAcentral is "bacterial SSU rRNA". It matches the Rfam family "Archaeal small subunit ribosomal RNA", at positions 1 to 865 of the family's 1478-position model. The record is from RNAcentral.